Long non-coding RNA from Pan troglodytes (chimpanzee), 947 nucleotides. RefSeq lists it as uncharacterized. Lineage: Eukaryota; Metazoa; Chordata; Mammalia; Primates; Hominidae. The transcript has 3 exons. The record is from RefSeq and is a predicted model, not a curated record.
CCAGCAGCAGCAACCCACUUGGGUCCCUUUCCACGCUGUGGAAUAUUUGUUCUUUAGCUCUUCACAAUAAAUCUUGCACUGCUCACUCUUUGGGUCCACGGACUACCUUUAUGAGCUGUAACACUCACUGCAAAGGUCUGUGGCUUCACUCCUGAGGUCAGCAAGACCACGAACCCACUGGGAGGAACAAACAACUCCAGACGCACCACGUUUAAGAGCUGUAACACUCACUGCGAUGGUCUGUGGCUUCACUCCUGAAGUCAGCAAAACCACGAACCCACUAGAAGGAAGAAACUCCGGACACAUCUGAACAUCUGAAGGAAAAAACUCCGGACACACCAUCUUUAAGAACUGUAACACUCACUGCAAGGGUCCAUGGCUUCAUUCUUGAAGUCAGCGAGAACAAGAACCUACCAGAAGGAAUAAAUUCCGGACACAGAAGAAAGAGGAGAAAGGCAAUAGAAACAUUUUUCCAUCUGCUGAAAAGUCUAGAAGCAAUCACCAGCUCAGAAGCAAUGGGCACUGCAAGUGCCCAGAUGGCAGUUUUGGAAUACCAGUUUCCACUAAAAAAAAAAAAAAAAAAAAAAAAAGGGACAGUUCAGUGAAAUGAUUUAUUUUAGAUCUGGAGCAGGAAGUGUACAACACGAGACUACAACAUAGCCAUGAAGCUCUCAAGAAGAGGUCAAUUGGCAGAAAUGGAAAAGAACACCAAGUAUUUUCUCCAUCAGGACUACAUUCUGCAGCAUCUCUUCUCCUCAAAUCUCAUUUGUUACAGUUGGAAAAAAAACAAUUUUGAUUAAUGACCUUAUUUGAAGAAAAAUGAGUUUGAUUAAUCAACUUUUUCCUGUGGAGUGUCAGCUUUGGAGCAAGUCCCCUUGAUGGCAGUUUAUGGGUAUUUAUGAUCUCUAAGUACCUGCUAAACUUCUCAAAUACACACUGACUAUAAG